RNAcentral lists this ribosomal RNA (881 nucleotides) under uncultured eukaryote. RNAcentral's name for it is "bacterial SSU rRNA". It matches the Rfam family "Eukaryotic small subunit ribosomal RNA", at positions 3 to 794 of the family's 1831-position model. The record is from RNAcentral.
CCUGGUUGAUCCUGCCAGUAGUUAUAUGCUUGUCUCAAAGAUUAAGCCAUGCAUGUCUAAGUACAAACGAAAAUAAAGUGAAACCGCAAAAGGCUCAUUAUAUCAGUUAUGGUUUCUUAGAUCGUAUCCACAAUUACUUGGAUAACUGUGGUAAUUCUAGAGCUAAUACAUGCAUUUAAAGAGAAACCAGUAAAAUGGGCUCUCUGCUUUUAUUAGAUUUAAACCAAUGGGGAGCGUUUCGGCGUUCUUACAUUUAAACUGGUUGAACUCUGGAUAAUUUGUUGAUCGCAUGGUCUCGUACCGGCGACGGAUCUUUCAAAUGUCCGCCCUAUCAACUAUUGAAGGUAAUGUCUUGGAUUACCUUGGUUGCAACGGGUAACGGGGAAUCAGGGUUCGAUUCCGGAGAGGGAGCCUGAGAAACGGCUACCACAUCUAAGGAAGGCAGCAGGCGCGUAAAUUACCCACUCCCAGCACGGGGAGGUAGUGACGAAAAAUAACAAUACAAGACUCACAUCCGAGGCCUUGUAAUUGGAAUGAGUACACUUUAAAUCCUUUAACAAGGAUCAAUUGGAGGGCAAGUCUGGUGCCAGCAGCCGCGGUAAUUCCAGCUCCAAUAGCGUAUAUUAAAGUUGUUGCGGUUAAAACGUUCGUAGUUGAACUUGUGUUCCGCACGGGCAGUACCAAAUAACUGGUAACAGUAGUGGUACCUUGUCUUACUUUCCUGUCUUUCGGAUUAGGAAAUGUGCGUGGACGUAUUAUCGGCGUGUUCGCUCUAGUAGCGUUCACAUAAGCCCAUCGCAGUGCUCUUAAACAAGUGUUGCUGUUGGGCCGAUACAAAUUACUUUGAACAAAUUAGAGUGCUUAAAGCAGGCUUGUAAUGC